AUAACUUACUGCAGUGCAGACCCUGUGUUCUGAUGUCAGCUGCAUCUUUACAGCCGCCGUGGCGAUCUUUAGGCUGCCUUGAGGGCGAAUUCCGCAGCUUCCUACCCAAGAGCCGGAGGCGUCUCGCAUUAAGAGCGACUCCAGCCCAAAGCUGCCACUGACCGCGUCCAGCUGGGAAGGAGAAGGACGCCGAGUGCUGCCAGCCCAGCUGGCUCGCCUGCCGUGCCCACCAUCCUCUGCCUUGCCGAGGGAAGAUAGGAAGAGCCUUCGUCUACUGCUGGAGCUGUGCCACUAAGUUCCUGCCUUUCCUGACGCCAUGUCUCUUUGUUCCAGUGGGGUGGUGAGGUCUAGCAGUUUUGAUAUCUAGCAGUUAUUUACUUUUUUCCUACCUGUUGGCAUCCUCUUUGUUAAUAAACCGUGGUUUUUUUAAACUCUC
Catharus ustulatus (Swainson's thrush) is the source of this 436-nucleotide long non-coding RNA. RefSeq lists it as uncharacterized. Lineage: Eukaryota; Metazoa; Chordata; Aves; Passeriformes; Turdidae. The record is from RefSeq and is a predicted model, not a curated record. The transcript is spliced from 2 exons.